Molecule: non-coding RNA, 406 nt
Organism: Pelobates fuscus (common spadefoot toad)
Lineage: Eukaryota; Metazoa; Chordata; Amphibia; Anura; Pelobatidae
Source: the annotation of a RefSeq genome assembly
AUUCGUCUUCUCUUUACAGAGACACAUUGAGAUGAAGACACUGCUCCGUGUGAUCUUCUACCUGAAGGUUUUCUCAUGUCUGUCCCACGCUGUGACCGUGACUCAGGACAAUACUUUUAUAUUGCUGCAUGAUGGAAGUAGUAUGGAUGAAAUAUCCUGUAUGCAUGAUGCAACCGAGAGCUACAAUAUGUACUGGUACCUGCAGAAACCAGGGGAAGGCUUGGUGCUUAUUGCAGUGUCAUAUGGCGAGAAAGAUGUCAACCUAGAGAAUGGGUUUGAGAACAAGUGGGUAAUCACUCGGCCAAGUAAUGCGAAAUCUACGUUCACACGAAAUGGGACAGUGAACAUCCAUGACUCUGCCACGUAUUACUGUGCAGCCAGUUUACACAGUCAUAGGAAGCUGUGA